Molecule: long non-coding RNA, 773 nt
Filed under: Rosa chinensis
Lineage: Eukaryota; Viridiplantae; Streptophyta; Magnoliopsida; Rosales; Rosaceae
Description: sRNA RchiOBHm_Chr0c32g0501591
Source: RNAcentral
GACAUAGACUGCAAAAUAGCCUUUUGGGAUAUCCAAGGUCUUUGAAGCUGUCUUGUUUGCAUUAGAUGAAGAUCGAGUCAGACUUCUCUUGGGGCUAACAAUUCCAGGCAGCCGGAAACCCAUGGCUUCCAUAUUCCCAAGUGGAUAAAUAAUAAAAAGACUUGAAAGGAUCUGGGAAAUAGAGAAAGCUUUGAUGUUUGAUAAAUGAGAGGAGUUGAGUUCCUGAUGAUUGAUUUGUGUAUGUAUAUAUAGAUGAUGAAAGGGUGUGUGGAAGAUCAUCUACUACAUGAAAUGAGUGGUUAACAUUGGCACCAAUGAGGGAGGCGAGCUUGUUUCAAAUCAAGAAAUCACAUGGGUUUGUCUUCCCAUUCACUUAAUUCAGCCACCAGCAGAUGCAUAUGCUGCUGCCCUUUUUUUCAAACAUCCUUCCCUACAUCCUUGAGAUGACGGACAAUACAGGGUCACAGGGACCAGAAGUGAGGUAUCUGUCUAAUAAAACCUAUCAGCAUUGAUUCAGACUUUCACUUCUAUCCAACUCUGGACCACUGGUGAAUAAUGUUUCUUUACAGACAAGAAUUGGUGGAUCGCCAAGCCAGCCUACCAUGUGGUCUUGCUGCUUCAUGAGAAGUAGCAGUCUGAUCAAAUGCUAACUAGUACAGGGUAUCAUUAACUUUCACAGAUAUUGAGAAUCUUUACUGAAAUGAAGAAAAGCUUGCAUGCCUCCCAGGAUUUCUGAGCAGUGUAUUCAAUUCUAAAACUCCAAAGUCGACUUC